CUUCACAAAGAAGCCUGAAAUUCAGAAUGCCUGAGGACCUGGCUGUGGUCACAGAGCUGGAGAGGGGUGUAUCUGACUCUGAAGACUUCACUCUCACUACAUUUCCUGGCCUGAGCACACGUCCUCAUGGGAAUGAUACAAUGGAUGUUUGGGGGAAUUUUUAAAAUUCCAUAUAAUUUGGAGAUUUCAAAGAAUAUUGAAACAAAACAAAAACAAUGGACAAAAAAAGCGCAAGAGCAAACACUGGACCUUUUGUUAUAAGCAGCACGAAAGAGGAAGAAUAGCCUGAGUGGACCUUGUUUUAAUAAGGUGCUUGCCCAUUCAGCACUAUGAAAACUUCCACCUCCUGAUGAAGAAAGAAGCAGACAUCAGUGGAAAGAUGGCAUCCUGCUCCCACUGUCUCCUCAAGCUCGCUGGAUAAAGCUCAGGCCUGACUACUCUGCCAGAAAAAAAGAAGACAUCCAAAGAUAUGGACAUGGUUGGACAGAGAUCCUCCAGAAAGUGGUGUCAAGUUUGUGUGUCCCUUUGAGAGUACCACCUCCAGAAAGAGCAGCUCAAUCAGUUUUCUGGACUCUGAUCUACCAAAUAAUCAUGACUUUCUUUGUGUGUAUGUGUGUGACAGGGUGAGUGAGGGGGGUGGAGUUAAUGCCUUCCAUCCUUGACGGGGAGACAGGAGCUGCAGAGGCACCCAGAGUCCAAAAGGAAAGCUACUGACACUCCCCAUCGUCUCCUCCCCACUCAGUGCAUCUUCAUCAUCUUCUGCCCAGUUUUGGGGUACAUGUGAAGAACAUGCAGGAUUGUUGCAUAGGUACGUACAUGGCAAUGUGGUUUGCUGCCUUCCUCCCCAUCACCAAUAUCUGGCAUAUCUCCCCAUGUUAUCCGUCCCCAACUCCCCACCCACCACUGACCCUCCCCUAGUUUCCUAUCCACAGACCUCAGUGUGUGAUGCUCCUCUCCCUGUGUCCAUGUGUUCAUUUUUUAUUUUUAUUGUUUUUAAUUGUACUUUAGGUUCUGGGGUAUA
RNAcentral lists this long non-coding RNA (1021 nucleotides) under Callithrix jacchus (white-tufted-ear marmoset). RNAcentral describes it as "lncRNA (ENSCJAG00000083368.1)". The record is from RNAcentral. Lineage: Eukaryota; Metazoa; Chordata; Mammalia; Primates; Cebidae.